GGUUGGUCCAAGUGCAGCAGUGUUUACAACUAAUUGAUCACAACCAGUUGCAGAUUUCUUUGUUUCAUAUCCACUCCCACUGCUUCACUUGACUAGCCUAAA
This is an unclassified non-coding RNA of Colobus angolensis palliatus, 102 nucleotides long. It matches the Rfam family "Y RNA". Rfam says of the family: Y RNAs are components of the Ro ribonucleoprotein particle (Ro RNP), in association with Ro60 and La proteins. The Y RNAs and Ro60 and La proteins are well conserved, but the function of the Ro RNP is not known. In humans the RNA component can be one of four small RNAs -- hY1, hY3, hY4 and hY5. The record is from Ensembl. NCBI's taxonomy places the organism in Eukaryota, Metazoa, Chordata, Mammalia, Primates, Cercopithecidae.